This 484-nucleotide ribosomal RNA is filed under the name uncultured bacterium. RNAcentral's name for it is "partial 16S ribosomal RNA". It matches the Rfam family "Bacterial small subunit ribosomal RNA", at positions 30 to 507 of the family's 1533-position model. The record is from RNAcentral.
AUUGAACGCUGGCGGCAGGCCUAACACAUGCAAGUCGAGCGGACGAAGGGAGCUUUCUCCCGGAUUCAGCGGCGGACGGGCGAGUAAUGCCUAGGAAUCUGCCUGGCAGUUGGGGAUAACGUCCCUAAACGGGCGCUAAUAUCGCACACGUCAUGAGGUUGAACGUGGGGGAUCUUCGGACCUCACGCUAUCAGAUGAGCCUAGGUCGGAUUAGCUAGUUGGUAAGGUAAAGGCCUACCAAGGCGACGAUCCGUAACUGAUCUGAGAGGAUGAUCAGCCACACUGGAACUGAGACACGGUCCAGACUCCUACGGGAGGCAGCAGUAGGGAAUCUUCGGCAAUGGGCGAAAGCCUGAUCCAGCCAUGCCGCGUGAGUGAUGAAGGUCUUCGGAUUGUAAAACUCUUUUAUUUGGGAAGAACAAAAGUGUAAUUAACCAUUCAUGUUUUGACGUUACCUACUGAGAAAGCCCCGGCUAACUUCGUG